Heterocephalus glaber (naked mole-rat) is the source of this 778-nucleotide non-coding RNA. NCBI's taxonomy places the organism in Eukaryota, Metazoa, Chordata, Mammalia, Rodentia, Bathyergidae. The record is from RefSeq and is a predicted model, not a curated record.
CUCAAAAAGCUCAUGGGUUAAGCAACAAAACCUGCAAAUAACUUCGAUGGAGCUCACUCUGGAAAGCCCCUUUUCCAAUCCUUCCAGAUAAUCAUGUUCAGUAAGAGAGAAGCAUCACGGCAUCCACACGAAGCUGCCAUAAACAUCCUCCUCCUACUCAGUCCUCCGGAUUCUCAACUCUGUCCUCUCCGGUUUGUGCAUCACCCCCACCAGUCCUCAACUCUCAACUGUGUCCACGUCUCUCCCUCUCCCACGAUCCCCCAUGCCAGGCAGGGGCUGCUGACCUUGCUAUGGUCACCCCUGUCUUGCUGUCACACAGGAUCUGCACUUAGCAGCCCGAGUGACCCCUUUAAAGUCACACCUGGGCUGUUACCGGCCUGCUCCACACUCCACAGCAGUUUUCUAUGGCUCUGGGAGGAAGCCCAGUCUUAGCAUGAACUGGAUCCCUCACCUCUCUGACUCCCCACUCAGGGUGGGGCCGUGGUCCUGGCACCUCCCUUUGGGUCAUCCCUGGCCCCAGCUAACUCUCCUAUCCAUCUUUUGAUUCAGAGCAAGGGUCAGUGACACUCCCGGAGACACCUGUCCUGUCUCACAAAAGCAGCCCAUUUCCAGGUCCUCACAGGCCUGCCUUCUCCACUGCAUGUGAAAACUACAGCAAAUCAUUCCACGAGGACCAAGCCUCUGUCCUUCUGUCUGGGGCUGACAGCACAGUGCAGCAUGCUUCAGGCACUCAAUGUGUUUCUACUGAAGCAGUAAAUAAAACCAAGAAUUGUUACCA